CUUCUUGCGAGAUCUGGCUGUUUGAAAGUGUGCGGCACCUCCCCACCCCUCCUCUGCUCCCACUCUGGCCAUGUGAGAUGCCGCUUCCUCUUCGCCUUCUGCCAAAAUUGCAAGCAAGGUCUCAUCAGAAGCAGGGCAGAUGCCGGCACCACACUUCAUAUAAAGUCUACAGAACAGUGAGCCAAUUAAACCUCUUUUCUUUAUAAAUUAUCCAGCCUCAGGUAUUUCUUUAUAGCAACAUAAGAAUGGCCUAACACAGGGUCUGUCUUAGGAAGGGGCCCUCGGGCUGUCCCUCUUCUCCCUGGCCCUAGCCCAGGAGGAGGACCAGCAAGAGUAGUGAAGUGAGAAGCCUCUCCAUGAAGAUGCCUUCUGCCAUUCAUUACACACACAACAGCAUCUUGGUCCCAGAUGCCGGGUCCCAGAGAGGACCUCAAGGAGACUUCCCAGGAAAUUACCCACCACUGGACAUUGGACAGGGCAAAGCUGUGGUGUGGAAAGGGGCAAAUCCACAUCCCUCCAACGUGUGCCCACAUGACUGUCCCGGGGGCUUCCAUGAGCUUGAUGACCCAGAAGCUAUGGUCCUGCACACGUGAGUCUGUGACCUGACAGCUGUGCCUGCUUCACCAGUGUAGAGACUUGGAUCCCCAGGCAAACCCCAGAAGUGUGGAAGGGAAGGGGAGAAAGCCUGUGGAGGGAGGUGGAGGAGCCGUGGUUUCCAGUAACCAUCGCUGGUUAGUUCAGAGGGAAAUGUCCACAACAGAGAUGACUGUGACACCCGGCACAAGAUUUAAUUCUCAGAGUGAAAACGAGAAUGCCGUGUCUCUGGGAGCCCCCGGAGAAUGACUCAACAGUGACGUCCUACAGCAUGAUUUGCUUUAACUGAAGGUGAAGAGAAUCUUUCAGGAGUGGAGAGAAUAUAACUGAAUGCUUUGUCACAAAUUUACUUUGAUCUCAUGUACCCCGUAAAUACAGACACCUACUAUGUACCAGAAAAAUUAAAAAUAAAAAUAACAAAUUCACAUUCCGCUUGUUCAUCCUGAUUCUUCAGGCCUGGCCACGGUAUCAAAGACAAGGAAGGCCCAUUGCCUGCCCUCAUGCUGGUUGUUCAGCCCUCCAAGAAUCAUUCUUGAUGCCCUGCAAAUACCAGGCGCUGCGCUAGGCCCUGCAGAUGCGACAACGAACGUAGAUGCUGUCCCAGCCACCCACACUCGCUGCCGGGGGAAGAACCAGGUAAGGUUCCCGCACAUCGCCCUCCAUGAAGCAGGAGCAGGAGCCUCACUGCGGGGCUGGGAGCUGCCUUCCUUCCUCCCACCAGCCUCUAGGGGAAGGAUUUGUGUCUGCUGGCCCUCCUCGGUAGUAACAAAUUCUGGUGGUGGACAAAGCAGAUAGAAGACUACAGAAGACAGACAGGCUAAGGUGAUCUGCGCAAAAAGAUGGCGGCGGGGGAGAGGAAAGGCAAUUCCCAGAAUGAAGCGGGGACGUGGGUGGCGAGUGUGUGGUUGGGAUUUGAGGUGGAAAGAGGCUGAGAGAGGACUGAGUUCCGGGAGGCAGCUGCCUCCUGCAUGGAGGCCUUUCCAAGGGCAAGCGCUGGAUAGAGGAUUCCAAUUAUUUGCUGUGCAUUGAGAAUGCACUCCCAAUGACCCAGUUUUUCCAACAAAUCAAUGACAUGAAAAGGAAAGGGGAAAAAAAAAGGUUCUAAGAUCCCCCUGUGGAUGCCUGAAACUGCAGAGAGUACCAAGCCUGACUGCCGCCAAUCAGAAGUAGUUUCUGUUCAGGUCUUCCACCCACGAAUGUAAUGCCUUUUUCGUCUUAACUAAGCACUUAUCACGCACUGUGGUCAUCACUUUUGCAGUCUGAGGUACAACAGCAAAACCAGCACACAUUCUUUUUCUUUCUUUACAAUUUCAGAAUUAGAAAUUUUAUUCUGACCAUAGAUUUUUGGCAAUCUCAGCAAAUGAUUUUGUUUCUUGAGAACUUUUGCCUUUUCGCUUAAAGGAAGCACUUGAGGUCUUCUCUUUGGCAUAUCCGAAUUGCUGGCAUCACUACGCUUGUGCUUUGGGGACAUUAUUUAGUAAAAUAAGGGUUCCUUGAACACCGGCACUGCGAUACCAUGACAGUCGAUCACUGACGGCCGGUGGUGUCUCCAGCAUGGAUACGCGGGACAGAGGGAUGAUUCACCUCCUGAGCAGGAUGGAGCGGGACAGCGAGAGAUUUCACUGCGCUGCUCAGAACAGCGCGUGAUUUAAAACUUGUGAAUUUGGGCGGGACGGGGAGGGGCGCGGCUGCGGGGAGUCGUCCCCGUGGCCGCCGCUCCGGAGCCCGGCGAGCCCGCGAAGGGGAAGCUCUUUAAGCUCCUAGGCAUUUCAGGUGUUGAAAAUAUUCCCUGUGCCCGGGAUUCAAUAUUGUAUGGUUCAUUAGGAUCUGUUGUGGCUGGCUUUGGACUUUUUUUUUGUUAACUAGUAGAAUUAGAAAAUCAUGUGAUGUUGGAGUAGGAGGAUUUAUCUUGGUGACUUUGGGAUGCUGGUUUCAUUGUAGGUAUAAUUAUGCAAAGCAAAGAAUCCAGGAAAGAAUUGCCAGAGAAGGAAUUAAAAAUAAGAUAUUAUGUGAAAGUACCCAUCUUGAUCCUGAAAGAAAAGAAACCAAGGGCAACAGCAGCAAUUGAACAAUCUUGAGCAUAGAAAUCAGACUCCCUGAAGUCAGUGUGAACAAAGCUAAGCUCAACCACAUAAAACAUUUUAUGUACAAUAAGCUCUCAAUCAAGUAAAUAAAGUUUAAGUUGUAAUAAAUAAAGAAAGAAAGGAAGAAAAUUUUUGAAUUAUUUGUGGAGUUUUAAAUUUAACAUUUUCAGGCUGUGGCUAAAACUCAGGAUAGUGAAACCACACAUAAGAGAGUACUACUGUUAUCACAUCAGCAGGCAUAUAAUGUUAGUCUCAUUAUUUGUAAACCUAACUUUAAAAAAUUUUUUUAAAUGUUUAUGGGUACAAUGUAGGUGUAUAUAUUUAUGGGAUAUAUGAGAUGUUUUGAUACAGACAUGCAAUUGUAAAAUCAUGGAGA
RNAcentral lists this long non-coding RNA (3054 nucleotides) under Homo sapiens (human). RNAcentral describes it as "non-protein coding lnc-SPATA3-1:1". Lineage: Eukaryota; Metazoa; Chordata; Mammalia; Primates; Hominidae. The record is from RNAcentral.